RNAcentral lists this transfer RNA (72 nucleotides) under Erwinia phage FBB1. Its description in RNAcentral is "tRNA-Met". Lineage: Duplodnaviria; Heunggongvirae; Uroviricota; Caudoviricetes; Pantevenvirales; Straboviridae. The record is from RNAcentral.
GGCCUUAUAGCUCACUGGCGAGAGCGGUCCCCUCAUAAGGGAUUGGGCGGGGAUCGUAACCCCGGAGGGCCA